This 86-nucleotide unclassified non-coding RNA is filed under the name Pseudomonas synxantha. The record is from RNAcentral. Lineage: Bacteria; Pseudomonadati; Pseudomonadota; Gammaproteobacteria; Pseudomonadales; Pseudomonadaceae.
GUGGGAGGGGGCUUGCUCCCGAUGGCGGUGGGUCAGCAAAAAAUGUUUGCUUGACACAUUGCUAUCGGGAGCAAGCCCCCUCCCAC